Molecule: long non-coding RNA, 3036 nt
Organism: Rhincodon typus (whale shark)
Lineage: Eukaryota; Metazoa; Chordata; Chondrichthyes; Orectolobiformes; Rhincodontidae
Exons: 2
Source: RefSeq, a predicted model, not a curated record
UUUCAAACUGGGGCCUAAUGAAAGUAGAAUACUUGACAACGUUUGCAACGAGUCGCAGUCUGCUUGCUAAUAGUAGCUGUUUUUUUUUUAAACUUUUGCAAUGUGAAGCUGGUUCCCCACCCCCGAGUGAGGGUUGGAAUGGAGCCGGCCCCGGGUUUGGAACGAGCUGAGGUGGGUGGGGGCGGGGGAGGUUCUCACAGCCGUUAAAGUCGGCCCCGAGCUCGAGAUCACUGAGCAGGUUUACAGGGUGAUUUAACGGUUAAAGCAGAUUCAUAGCUAUUCCCCGUUAAAAGAAAGGCUGAGGAAAUGUCGCCGGCAAAAGACACGUGAAGAUGUGCCUGUCGGCUACGGGAGCAACGAUGCCGACCGGGAUUGAAGCAAGAUCAAGAUCAGACUGAAAGCUGUGAGCCAGCACUAAAAUCUUGGAAGCCAGUUCAGACAAACUGUUAGCCCUGUUCACUAGAAUAACCGCAGAUUAGGUAACAGGAGGCUCCAGCGCUGUUUAUAUUAGAAUUUUUUUAAAUCACUGCUGAAAGUGUCAAUUAAGUACUACAGUCCAUUUGAAUUGAAGUUUCCUUGCAGUAAGUGACACCGCUGGUAAUAGCAGAUUCGCACCGAUUUCGUUUUUGAAAUAAACUCUUAAUCCUCCACUUGAAUCAGGCACUUGUGUUGCAGGAGUGCUGUUGGUGAGUAAGAACCCUCACUUGAUAACAUCGGGAGACGAAGGCAGCAGUGAUUCUUCCUGCUCAGUUGCUGUCAACGAUCUAAUGCAAUAGCACUACAAAUAUGGGUUCUUAGCUGGAUAAGAAGCAAGAAGCUUCAUAGAGUUCUGACCUGGGUUCAACUGUGAUCAACCAGAUGGAGGAACCAUACUGUAACUAUCUCAAGAGGGAUCACAAAAGACAUUUGAAAUUCAGUGAGCUUCAGAAAACAGAACUGAGUCUUCAAAAGGUGUGAAAACCCCUUGGCUUCUGAGAGAAUAAGAGAAAAGCAGCUUCUUUAAAGGACCUCAACUUAAUUCACUUUUUGUUUUCUUGGAACAAUGAUACAUUUAAAUUUACGGAGCAGCCAUUUCCAGUGUUGUACAGAAUUAAGUGCAUCUUGGGACAGCUAUUAUGUGCAUAGACCCCAUUGGAACUCACAAAGACAGCGCAUCCUUCAGCUGCAAUAACUGUACAGUAUGCAGAAUAAACAGAAAUUGCUCAGCAGGUCUGGCAGCAUCUGUGGAGAGAACAACAGAAUUAACCUUGUAAGUCCAGUGACCCUUCUUCAGAACUGAAAACAGCAAGGAAGAGGUGGUAUUCAUGCUGAUGACUGGGCUGGGGGAGAGACAAGUGCAGAUAUUGUCAGGAGGGAAAGAGAGAGAGGGAAAAGAAAAGGGAAAGAGACAAGGGGAUUGUUGGUAAUAAGCCAGGGAAGAAAACAAGCUGAAUAGGUGAUAACAGGCUGUAUGAGUGGUUGAAAAUAGGUUUCCUAUGCUAAUAGCAACCCGUAUAGGACAGGAUUUGGGAUUGUGGGGGUUGGAAUCAAACAGAGGGAUGUGCUCAUGCUGUGAAAUUCUUCAACUUAGUGUUGAGUCCUGAGGGCUCUGAGGCACUAAGGUGGAAGAUGAGAUAUUGUUUGUCCAGCUUGCAAUAAACAUUGCUGGAGCACUGCAGUGGGCCUGAGGCAGAAAUGUUUGCAUGGGGACAUGGUGGUGUGUUGAACUGUCAGGUAACUGGAAGCUUGCGGUUAUUUUUAUUGAUAGAGCAGAGGUGUUCGAUAAAACAGCCAUCCAAUCUGCAUUUUGUCUUCCCACUGUAGAGGAGAUUGCAUUGUGAACAAUGAAUACAGUAGACUGGAUUGAAUGAAGUGCAGGUAAAUUACUGCUGGAAAUUUUGUCUGUGGUCUUGGAUGGUGAAGAAGGAGAAAUUGAUGGACAAGUGCGCCACCUUCUGUAAUUGCAUGGGAAAGUGCCACAGGGGCGAGAAAGUUUUGGGGUGUGGAAGUUGAGCCAUCUCUCUGCAUCCAGUAGUUAAAGUGCAAUAAAGAACUAAGCAAAAAGGUCCUUCAUUCACUCCCUAAAGAUGCUUAUCCUACUGCGUUUACCUACAGAUGCAAAUUCAGACUAUUCAACUCCAGAAUCCAUUGCAGCUAUUGAACACAACUCUUCAUCUUCAACCUUUCACUCCAGAGACAGUUUUAUUUAUUUCAAAAAAUUACUUGAUUCAUAAAUUAUCUAUAAGUAAAUACAUGUACAAAGCAGUUCAGUACAGACUUUGCAAAACAUUCCUCAUUAGAGCUUCAAUCCAGUUGCAACAAAAAGGCUUUCUCUAAACAAGAAAGGAAACAAUUGGCAUUUUCAUUAAGGUUAAUAGAGGAUCUCAAAACUUAACACACCCUCGUAAUAUGUUGACAAAAGGAACUUAAACGGUGGCCUCUCCCGACUGCAUCGUGGCAGCAGCUGCCCCAAGCUUUAGUGCGUCCCUCAGCACAUAGUCGUGGACCUUGGAAUGUGCCAGUCUGCAAAACUUGGUCGAGGUGAACUUUUGCAAUGAAAGACCACAGCAUCUUUUACCGAGUUGGUGGUCUUCCAGGUGCAGUCAAUGUUUGACUCUGUAACUCCAGACAACACUUCAACUGCAAGUCAGGGACCCACGACAAUAUCUUAAAGGACGGAAUUGAAUUUCAACUUUAUUAGUAUUCUUGAUCCUUUUCUGUGUUUCAUUUUUCUGUAUAUUUGGUUAAUAAUUUUAUUACUUUUAGUUAAGCAACUUGCAGCAAUGUUUUAUACUAAAAUAAUAUUUAAAGUGUUAGAAAUUCCUUAAGACCAAAGUUUUAUUCCUGGUUAUUUUUAAAUUAAAGCAAAUUAAAAUUCUGAAAGUUUAAAAUUCAGCUAUACAAACUCAUUCUCAGCUCAUUAAUCACUUUGAGCAAAAACACUGUAUGGGUUCUUCACAGCUGUGGUGUGGAUGUUGAAAAGUAUUUCACUUAACUUUGUUUCUAUCAAGUAUUUUAUAAUUAUCUCUGGAAACAGAUAAAACCUAGACACUCUAA